This 746-nucleotide ribosomal RNA is filed under the name uncultured bacterium. Its description in RNAcentral is "bacterial SSU rRNA". It matches the Rfam family "Bacterial small subunit ribosomal RNA", at positions 33 to 773 of the family's 1533-position model. The record is from RNAcentral.
ACGCUGGCGGCAGGCCUAACGCAUGCAAGUCGAGCGGUAGAGAGAAGCUUGCUUCUCUUGAGAGCGGCGGACGGGUGAGUAAUGCCUAGGAAUCUGCCUGGUAGUGGGGGAUAACGUCCGGAAACGGACGCUAAUACCGCAUACGUCCCACGGGAGAAAGCAGGGGACCUUCGGGCCUUGCGCUAUCAGAUGAGCCUAGGUCGGAUUAGCUAGUUGGUGGGGUAAUGGCUCACCAAGGCGACGAUCCGUAACUGGUCUGAGAGGAUGAUCAGUCACACUGGAACUGAGACACGGUCCAGACUCCUACGGGAGGCAGCAGUGGGGAAUAUUGGACAAUGGGCGAAAGCCUGAUCCAGCCAUGCCGCGUGUGUGAAGAAGGUCUUCGGAUUGUAAAGCACUUUAAGUUGGGAGGAAGGGCAGUAAAUUAAUACUUUGCUGUUUUGACGUUACCGACAGAAUAAGCACCGGCUAACUCUGUGCCAGCAGCCGCGGUAAUACAGAGGGUGCCAAGCGUUAAUCGGAAUUACUGGGCGUAAAGCGCGCGUAGGUGGUUCGUUAAGUUGGAUGUGAAAUCCCCGGGCUCAACCUGGGAACUGCAUUCAAAACUGACGAGCUAGAGUAUGGUAGAGGGUGGUGGAAUUUCCUGUGUAGCGGUGAAAUGCGUAGAUAUAGGAAGGAACACCAGUGGCGAAGGCGACCACCUGGACUGAUACUGACACUGAGGUGCGAAAGCGUGGGGAGCAAAC